AUGAUACCAUUUUGGCUCUCUCUUCCAACAAGACAGCAUAUCUUACAAGCCUCUCAAUCCUUCACAAAAGUAAUGAGAACCUCCUGGGUUUGGGAAAUGGGGCCCAAACAGAAGAACUGGGGAGGGGAGCAGGGAAGUGUCAUGCACCCCUUUCCUGACUUCUCACUGGUGUCAUUGUUAGCUUCUCAUGUGCACAUGCUUUCUUGCAGCCCCAGAUUGCGGAUGUCAUUCAUCACAUACUCCACGCAGGGCAACACCAUCAUGAAACUCACCUCAAACAGAAAUGUAAUAAAGAAUAGUCUUAAAAGACUUCGGAAUAUAGUGCCUAAAGGAGCCAGAAACAUGCAGGAAGGAUUAAAAAAGGCCAAUGAGCAGAUUUACAAAGUUCAGUCCAGCAGUAAGUUGUCUGCCGAUGUCACUGUGCUCAGGUGGGACACAGCCCAGCCCGGGCCUCAGCGAGGGCUGCUGCAGACCCACCUCGGCCAAUUCCUAGUGCUGAUGCUUGGAGCAAAUUCCUUGCCCUCACUGUGCUGCAGGUUCCUCCUCUGCACAGUGAGGAAGAAAACCACCCCCAGGACUGUGUCUGAGAACCACCUGGGGUCAUGGCUUACACUCCUGGUUCUUUCUAGAUCGCAGGUUCUUGAUGUGUGAUUGGGCUGCAUGGAAAACAAAAGAGAAAAUCGAGGGACCGCAAGCAGACAGGGUUCAGUUUAGGGACCAGAGACCUUGCUGUCCCCCUGGCUGCCCACACUUUUGUCCCCCGCAGUUCUGGCUCUGCCUCCACCCCUUCAGCUUCUUCCCUCUGGUUGAGUCUCGUCCUGUGACUGUGCCUCUGAUGGUGGAAAAGCCUGUGCUCUCCCAGAACCAUCUACAUCUAGAGUGUAGGGUUGCAGCUCCUGCAGGAAAGAUGCGUGGGCUGGUGGGGACAGGUAGGGAGCAGGGCAGGGGCCACUGCACAGGCACCUUGACCUCGAGUUCUGAAGGCCAGGACCCAUAGAGCCAGCAGAGGUGCGUGUCAGCAAUGCCCAGGCCAGAGCCCAGCUGUCCCCUGAUCCAGUGGGAAGCCUUGUACAGUCCAUGUGGCUGCUCCUCCCUUGCUCCCCUAAAGGCUUGUCCUCACGCAGUGACGUGGCUGGAGCUUCCUUUCAGGGCAAAGGCUGUGCCUUCUGCUCGUGGUGAGGGUCACUAAGAAGAUCUCUGAGCUGGUCUCAGACUCCUCAUGUGUCAAGUGGGUGCUGGGUUAAGGCCUCCUCUCUCUGCAGGCGCUCUGGUUGGUGGGUGCUAGGGUCAGGGUAGCCUCUCCCCAGGAGGAGGAUGUAUGGUGGGCAGUGCUGCAGCCCUGCCAUCUGAGACAGGUCACUCCAGGGCCUCUCCCUGCUUGUUCUGCAGACUUUGGCGCUUCUAGCCUGAUUUUCACUCUCACUGCUGGACCAUUGCAGCCGUCAGCAGUACAGGAGACUAAGCAGGAAGUGAGUCCCAUCCAUCAUCACUAGCUUUGUGCUCCACAUAUUUGCGUGUUUUAUACUCAAUGCCUUCUUUCACGU
Molecule: long non-coding RNA, 1544 nt
Filed under: Sus scrofa (pig)
Lineage: Eukaryota; Metazoa; Chordata; Mammalia; Artiodactyla; Suidae
Description: lncRNA (ENSSSCG00005031740.1)
Source: RNAcentral